AGCAGUAGCCGCGGUAAUACGUAGGUGGCAAGCGUUGUCCGGAAUUAUUGGGCGUAAAGCGCGCGCAGGCGGAUCGGUCAGUCUGUCUUAAAAGUUCGGGGCUUAACCCCGUGAUGGGAUGGAAACUGCCAAUCUAGAGUAUCGGAGAGGAAAGUGGAAUUCAUAGUGUAGCGGUGAAAUGCGUAGAUAUUAGGAAGAACACCAGCGGCGAAGGCGACUUUCUGGACUGCAACUGACGCUGAGGCUCGAAAGCCAGGGGAGCGAACGGGAUUAGAUACCCCGGUAGUCCCUGUCUCUUAUACA
Molecule: ribosomal RNA, 303 nt
Filed under: uncultured bacterium
Lineage: Bacteria
Description: partial 16S ribosomal RNA
Rfam family: Bacterial small subunit ribosomal RNA
Source: RNAcentral